AUUGAACGCUGGCGGCAGGCCUAACACAUGCAAGUCGAGCGGAUGAAGGGAGCUUGCUCCUGGAUUCAGCGGCGGACGGGUGAGUAAUGCCUAGGAAUCUGCCUGGUAGUGGGGGAUAACGUCCGGAAACGGGCGCUAAUACCGCAUACGUCCUGGGGGAGAAAGUUGGUGAUCUUCGGACCUCACGCUAUCAGAUGAGCCUAGGUCGGAUUAGCUAGUUGGUGGGGUAAAGGCCUACCAAGGCGACGAUCCGUAACUGGUCUGAGAGGAUGAUCAGUCACCCUGGAACUGAGACACGGUCCAGACUCCUACGGGGGGCAGCAGUGGGGAAUAUUGGACAAUGGGCGAAAGCCUGAUCCAGCCAUGCCGAGUGUGUGAAGAAGGUCUUCGGAUUGUAAAGCACUUUAAGUUGGGAGGAAGGGCAGUAAGUUAAUACCUUGCUGUUUUGACGUUACCAACAGAAUAAGCACCGGCUAACUUCGUG
RNAcentral lists this ribosomal RNA (484 nucleotides) under uncultured bacterium. RNAcentral describes it as "partial 16S ribosomal RNA". It matches the Rfam family "Bacterial small subunit ribosomal RNA", at positions 30 to 507 of the family's 1533-position model. The record is from RNAcentral.